RNAcentral lists this ribosomal RNA (2906 nucleotides) under Salmonella enterica. RNAcentral's name for it is "bacterial LSU rRNA". It matches the Rfam family "Bacterial large subunit ribosomal RNA". RNAcentral also lists the same sequence under 1 other name. The record is from RNAcentral. Lineage: Bacteria; Pseudomonadati; Pseudomonadota; Gammaproteobacteria; Enterobacterales; Enterobacteriaceae.
UUAAGCGACCAAGCGUACACGGUGGAUGCCCUGGCAGUCAGAGGCGAUGAAGGACGUGCUAAUCUGCGAUAAGCGCCGGUAAGGUGAUAUGAACCGUUAUAACCGGCGAUUUCCGAAUGGGGAAACCCAGUGUGAUUCGUCACACUAUCAUUAACUGAAUCCAUAGGUUAAUGAGGCGAACCGGGGGAACUGAAACAUCUAAGUACCCCGAGGAAAAGAAAUCAACCGAGAUUCCCCCAGUAGCGGCGAGCGAACGGGGAGGAGCCCAGAGCCUGAAUCAGCAUGUGUGUUAGUGGAAGCGUCUGGAAAGGCGCGCGAUACAGGGUGACAGCCCCGUACACAAAAGCGCACAUGCUGUGAGCUCGAUGAGUAGGGCGGGACACGUGGUAUCCUGUCUGAAUAUGGGGGGACCAUCCUCCAAGGCUAAAUACUCCUGACUGACCGAUAGUGAACCAGUACCGUGAGGGAAAGGCGAAAAGAACCCCGGCGAGGGGAGUGAAACAGAACCUGAAACCGUGUACGUACAAGCAGUGGGAGCACAGGUUUACCUGUGUGACUGCGUACCUUUUGUAUAAUGGGUCAGCGACUUAUAUUCUGUAGCAAGGUUAACCGCAUAGGGGAGCCGAAGGGAAACCGAGUCUUAACCGGGCGUUAAGUUGCAGGGUAUAGACCCGAAACCCGGUGAUCUAGCCAUGGGCAGGUUGAAGGUUGGGUAACACUAACUGGAGGACCGAACCGACUAAUGUUGAAAAAUUAGCGGAUGACCUGUGGCUGGGGGUGAAAGGCCAAUCAAACCGGGAGAUAGCUGGUUCUCCCCGAAAGCUAUUUAGGUAGCGCCUCGUGAAUUCAUCUCCGGGGGUAGAGCACUGUUUCGGCUAGGGGGCCAUCCCGGCUUACCAACCCGAUGCAAACUGCGAAUACCGGAGAAUGUUAUCACGGGAGACACACGGCGGGUGCUAACGUCCGUCGUGAAGAGGGAAACAACCCAGACCGCCAGCUAAGGUCCCAAAGUCAUGGUUAAGUGGGAAACGAUGUGGGAAGGCCCAGACAGCCAGGAUGUUGGCUUAGAAGCAGCCAUCAUUUAAAGAAAGCGUAAUAGCUCACUGGUCGAGUCGGCCUGCGCGGAAGAUGUAACGGGGCUAAACCAUGCACCGAAGCUGCGGCAGCGACGCUUAUGCGUUGUUGGGUAGGGGAGCGUUCUGUAAGCCUGCGAAGGUGGCCUGUGAGGGCUGCUGGAGGUAUCAGAAGUGCGAAUGCUGACAUAAGUAACGAUAAAGCGGGUGAAAAGCCCGCUCGCCGGAAGACCAAGGGUUCCUGUCCAACGUUAAUCGGGGCAGGGUGAGUCGACCCCUAAGGCGAGGCCGAAAGGCGUAGUCGAUGGGAAACGGGUUAAUAUUCCCGUACUUGGUGUUACUGCGAAGGGGGGACGGAGAAGGCUAUGUUGGCCGGGCGACGGUUGUCCCGGUUUAAGCGUGUAGGUGUGUGUUCCAGGUAAAUCCGGUUCACUUUAACACUGAGGCGUGACGACGAGGCACUACGGUGCUGAAGCAACAAAUGCCCUGCUUCCAGGAAAAGCCUCUAAGCAUCAGGUAACAUCAAAUCGUACCCCAAACCGACACAGGUGGUCAGGUAGAGAAUACCAAGGCGCUUGAGAGAACUCGGGUGAAGGAACUAGGCAAAAUGGUGCCGUAACUUCGGGAGAAGGCACGCUGACACGUAGGUGAAGUGGUUUACCCAUGGAGCUGAAGUCAGUCGAAGAUACCAGCUGGCUGCAACUGUUUAUUAAAAACACAGCACUGUGCAAACACGAAAGUGGACGUAUACGGUGUGACGCCUGCCCGGUGCCGGAAGGUUAAUUGAUGGGGUCAGCGCAAGCGAAGCUCCUGAUCGAAGCCCCGGUAAACGGCGGCCGUAACUAUAACGGUCCUAAGGUAGCGAAAUUCCUUGUCGGGUAAGUUCCGACCUGCACGAAUGGCGUAAUGAUGGCCAGGCUGUCUCCACCCGAGACUCAGUGAAAUUGAACUCGCUGUGAAGAUGCAGUGUACCCGCGGCAAGACGGAAAGACCCCGUGAACCUUUACUAUAGCUUGACACUGAACAUUGAGCCUUGAUGUGUAGGAUAGGUGGGAGGCUUUGAAGCGUGGACGCCAGUCUGCGUGGAGCCGACCUUGAAAUACCACCCUUUAAUGUUUGAUGUUCUAACGUGGACCCGUAAUCCGGGUUGCGGACAGUGUCUGGUGGGUAGUUUGACUGGGGCGGUCUCCUCCUAAAGAGUAACGGAGGAGCACGAAGGUUGGCUAAUCCUGGUCGGACAUCAGGAGGUUAGUGCAAUGGCAUAAGCCAGCUUGACUGCGAGCGUGACGGCGCGAGCAGGUGCGAAAGCAGGUCAUAGUGAUCCGGUGGUUCUGAAUGGAAGGGCCAUCGCUCAACGGAUAAAAGGUACUCCGGGGAUAACAGGCUGAUACCGCCCAAGAGUUCAUAUCGACGGCGGUGUUUGGCACCUCGAUGUCGGCUCAUCACAUCCUGGGGCUGAAGUAGGUCCCAAGGGUAUGGCUGUUCGCCAUUUAAAGUGGUACGCGAGCUGGGUUUAGAACGUCGUGAGACAGUUCGGUCCCUAUCUGCCGUGGGCGCUGGAGAACUGAGGGGGGCUGCUCCUAGUACGAGAGGACCGGAGUGGACGCAUCACUGGUGUUCGGGUUGUCAUGCCAAUGGCACUGCCCGGUAGCUAAAUGCGGAAGAGAUAAGUGCUGAAAGCAUCUAAGCACGAAACUUGCCCCGAGAUGAGUUCUCCCUGAGACUUUAAGUCUCCUGAAGGAACGUUGAAGACGACGACGUUGAUAGGCCGGGUGUGUAAGCGCAGCGAUGCGUUGAGCUAACCGGUACUAAUGAACCGUGAGGCUUAACCUU